Urocitellus parryii (Arctic ground squirrel) is the source of this 846-nucleotide long non-coding RNA. RefSeq lists it as uncharacterized. Lineage: Eukaryota; Metazoa; Chordata; Mammalia; Rodentia; Sciuridae. The record is from RefSeq and is a predicted model, not a curated record.
UUCAUGCCUUUCUACUGUGCUGCUUAAGUUGGUUUUUCCAUGGGAGGAUGUGGUAAGAACUCUUUGGAGCCACAGCAUAUACCUGGCAUAUCUUCCUUGGUGUCAGUUUUACUUUGAAGAUUUAGUCUACUUUGGACUCCUCUGAGAGCCCUGAGGAGAAUGGUUCACUGUCCCAAAUCUUAGGGACUUCAAAUCUUAGAAGUCCUCCGGAGGAAAUUCUUAGAGCAGCGACGACAACCUUAGACAAACUUAAACAGCAGACAGAGGGCAGGUAUGAAGAGGUCUUAGGUGAUGUUCCUGAGAGUUGGGGCCAGUGGGGUGCAUGAAGUCGCAGGAGAGUCUGGAGCCCUCCGGCAGGACAGCCUGAGGAGGCAGGACUGCAAGGAAGCCUCUGAGGAGGACUGCACUUCUCUCCACUGGGAGGAAAGGAAGCACUGGUUCCUACCCAGCCACUGUCUCCCUGAUCUAGAGGAAUAUGAAGGUAAAACAUCUUCAGAGUCUGAAACAGAAAGCAAAGCUUCUGCAGCUGAAAGGUGAGGCAAACAUGAAAGACCAGGAAUAGAAACAGAACAAGAGACAAAUAGUUAACCCUGAGUCUGGAUGGAUGAAGGAGGAAGUGAGAAUUAGACAGGUGAGGUGGAAAAGAGGGGUCUUCAGUCAUAGAACCAUAUAAGGAAAUCACAAUUUUCAUGCCCCUAAACUCUCCUUCCCCUCCCAGCAACUGAAAUCCUUUCUUUGACCAUCUGUCCAGGAGGAUAAAAAUACCCAGGCUGAGCACCUUGCCAAAUAUUUCCAAGAACCUGUUUACUGACCAUUUGAUUGACUUGGAGAGAUCUGGUCAGCAGC